AACAGAAACUGCAGGUGUUUAUCUGUGUCUGGUGAAUAUUUUGGUAAAAACAUGUUUGUUUUUCAUUCAGUGGGCAGAAAAUCCAGAAAUUUUACUCAAGAGUAGAAAUACUUCCUAAUAAAAUUAGUCAAGU
Long non-coding RNA from Xiphophorus couchianus (Monterrey platyfish), 133 nucleotides. RefSeq lists it as uncharacterized. The record is from RefSeq and is a predicted model, not a curated record. NCBI's taxonomy places the organism in Eukaryota, Metazoa, Chordata, Actinopteri, Cyprinodontiformes, Poeciliidae. The transcript has 3 exons.